CAGCAAGGAUCAACAGUCAUUGGCCUAUCAACGCAAACAAAAUAAAACUCCAGAUACUGCCAUUAGAUGACAGUAUUACAGAGCCAAGAAGCACUAUACAGACCAACUUAAGCUUGCAGCACAACCUUUUUUCAGCAUCUCCUUCUCAGCCUUGUCAGCAAUGCCUGUCAAAUAUUUCAAAAUUAGAAGUCCAUUCAAACUGUAGAUAUUCAAAAGAGACGUUGUACUGAACUGAACAAACAUGUAGUGCAUAAACAUCUCAGACUCCCAUGUACUGUGCUGAACAAAUCAUAUGUAUCAGUGAGAAGAAAAACACCUCACUCUAUCAUGUAUUGUACUGAACAAGCAUGUAGUGUGUAAACAGCAACAAGAUAUUGCAGUAGCAAAGACAAAAAUUAUCAUGUAGUGUGUAAACAGCAACAAAAUAUUGCAGUAGCAAAGACAAAAAUUAUGCAACACGAAAGAGACCAAGAGAAAAAAUAUUGUCAUCCACAUCAUACAGGUUUUGCAAAGAAUAUAGUACACUGGAAGAAGAAUGGAGAUAGUACCUUCUACAUUAAAACAUCUACUCGUCAUCGCUGUCGAUAUCCAUUGUGGCACCUCCUUCGUUUUCACUGCAAUACUCCAAACCUGUAUCAUCUUCUUCAUCUUCGUCGCCACCUUCAUACAUUUUUGUGGUUUUAUCUUUCAUCAAACGAGCAACAACAUCAGCUUCAAAAGUAAUGCCUUGCUCAUCAUCUCUAUGCAAAGGCUUUUCAGAUGUAAGGUCAGAAACUGAUGUUCUCCUACCCUCCUCUUCACAACACUCCUCCUCUUGAUAUGCAGGACCACUAAAAGGUACACCCUCAGUUUCACUAAUAUUGAAUAGAUGCCUAUAGUCGAAUGUUUGCACAACUUGCCAAUUUUUCCCAUACUUCGUGUCUGGCAAAUAAAAGACCUUACUAGCCUGAGUAGCCAGAAUCAAAGAAUCGUCCUUGUACCACCAACUUCCAACAUGUAUGCUUUUGAAAAAACGAUCAUUUUUAAGUUCAGUAUUCUUUCCAUCAAGUUUAAACCAGUCACAUUUAAACAAAACAACUGACCUAUCGUCCAAGUUAUAAUCUAACUGAAUGAUCUCUUUCAAGGUUCCAUAAAAAUCUAUGACCUUAUGGUUAUGUUCGCCUUCGGUCAUGACUCCACUGUUCUGUGUCCUCUUGUUGCUAUCACGAGCAACAAUGCUAAAUCUAAUCCCAUUCACUAUCCAUGAUGAGAAUUUCCGGACACUCCGAUCAGGACCACAUGCCAAGGCAAAGAGAUCUUCAUCUACCUCUUCACCAUCCUCGUCUCGUAGCCUCAUCAUCUGCGACAACACACAAACACAUACAUUAGAAUCUGCACUGAAAUUUGACAACCAAAAAUUAAAACUAGAUGUUAAUGAAAACUAACAUAGUUCCUGAACCAUGUCUGAAAUUUUUGUUGAAGCUCUUUAUCACUGUCCGGCAACCGUUUCCUCUUUAACUCAUCUCUGAACAUACUGUAAAAUAAAACAAAUUAGUCUCGUGACAUAUGUACAACACAAUGCAAGUUUCAGAAGUGACAACGUACUCGAUAUAUUUCUUAGCUUGAUCACAGUUGUUCAACACAUACCACACCAUCUGGUCAAAUUCUUUUUGGUCAUGCACAUAUUCAUAUUCAUAUCCUGAAGUAAAAUUAACUCCAUGCCCAAAAACGUCAACACCAUAGGCUUCUUCAUCUGAAAAACCUACAUUUCUUGGUUUCCGAUUAAAUAUUGUUUCAACAUCAUCCAUGUAUGUCACAUCCCUAACUUCUGGUUUGCUCUGAGCUAGCUAGUCAUGUGUUGCAUCAUGUUUAAAUUUUUCCUAAAAUUGGAAUGGGGAUGUUCAAACCCUAGCAUUAAAUCAACUCAACUAGGGUGAAUUAAAAUCUUUUCAAUAAACCCAAAAAGUUCCUCAGAAAAGUUCAUGAUUUCUGGUUAAGGUGGAAACCUCUGCCAAAAAUGAUGAAUAUAUUCUUAGGUCAUUUUUGGAUUUUUGAAUUAAAUCAUAUUGUAUUUGACUUUGGGCAUUUAAACACUAUAAAUAAUUUAAAUGUUCAAAUAAAUGUUGGAAAUUGUUAAGGGUCACUGAAAUAAUUUAGAAAGCACCCAUAAUUGUUUCCAGGAUUUUAUUAAAUGAUUUGGUAUUUUAAAUCAAAUCAAAAACAAAAUAACAGAAAUAGAAAAGAAAUAAAAGAGAGAGAGAGAAGGAAGUUACCUGGCGCCCACUCACCUGGUAGCCAGCCGGCCCAGCUCCUGUGCGGCCCAGCCCAGCGCCUCCCCCUGUCGUCUUCCUCCUCGCCAGAAGGACCGAGGCGUGGCGCGCACCCGAGAGGCCUCGGCCACCUCCUGCUUCCCCUGGCCACCUCAUGCUUCCUCCUCGAUGCCCCGGUGACGCCAUGCGCCUCCCUCGACCCUCUCUCACUCUCCCGUGUCUCUCCCUCCGUCCCUAUCCUCCUCUGCUCCCUCUCUCUCACCCGGACCAAACGGAGCCGCCGCCACCGACGAGCUCCCUCGCGGCCACCGCCACCCCCUCUCCUCUCCGACGCGCUCCCGAGCUCCGCCGGUCCUCCCUCGUCCUCCUCGUUGUCUCGCGCGACCAGAAGAGCCCCUGGAUGCCGCUAGCCUCGCUGUUCCCUCCUCAGCCACCGAGGAUCGCCGUCGUCAAAUUCGUCGCCGUUCGGCCUUCCCCGAGCCCACCGAGCUGCUCGUCGACCUCGCCGUGAGCUCCUCUGCCGAACCCCUCUCUCCCCGUGCUCUAUUUCCCUCCGUAGCCGCCGUUACCACCGCGGCCGAGAGCUUCUCGCCGCCGGCCAUGGCGUGGUCGUGGCCACAGCCACCGCAGCUCGCUCCCGAGCCCACCGUCGUGCUCAGCGCAGCACCAAGAGCUCGUAGCCACCACCUGCUCCUCCUCUAGUGCACCGUAGCCGUUCUCCCCUCCCCGCCGAACUCCGGCCGCCGCAAAAGCUGCCGCCGUCGUCGAUUUAGCCCACUCCGUCGCGAGUUGUUGCCUCCGUUGGAUGCGCAAGACUCCUAGCUUUCCGUAGCCGCAAACCGCGUCCAAAACCACCGCCUGAAGCUAAAAUCCGAGCCGCGCCACCGUCUCGGGCCUCGCCGGCGUCGAGUCGCCGGUGGGGUUGACCCACUUGACCACGGCGGAACCCCCCCUGGGUCGAUGACAGGUGGGGCCAGCCCCUGUUAAUUAGUUUAGGUGUUAGAUUAGUUAACACUAAUUAAGUUAGUUAAUUAUUUAAGCCACUAACAUGUGGGCCCAACCCUGCUGACAUUUUCGUUAGUAUUUGUUUAACCCUAAUCAACCCAGUUAACCAACUGUGUCACUGACGUGUGGCCCCCACACGUCAGGUUUGACCUGGGGCGCCCAGUUGACCCUGCUGACGUCACCGUGACGUGGUGCUGACGCCAUAAAUCAUUUCUGGAUUUAUUAUUAUUUCAGGAAUUUCAGAAAAUAGCUAAAACUUCAAUAAAUCAUAAAAAAUUAACCGUAACUCCAAAUUAAAUAAAUUAUAUAUGAAAAAUUAUCAGAAAAAUUCAAGGAAUCCAUCUGUACCAUUUUCAUGCAUGUUAGAACAACUUAUAGAUGCUGUUUAGCACAAAUCAUAUAAAGGGCAUUUAAAUAAUCACAUAUGGAGUUUGAAUUUGAAUCUUGUAUUCAAACCAACUUCAUUUAAUUUGUUGCUGGUUGCAUUAGCUCAAAACACAUUCAUUUUGCCAUGUCAUGAUCAUGCAUCAUAUUGUGCAUUACAUUGAUUGUGUUCCCUUCUGUGUUGCCGGUAUUUGUCCCCUCUCGAUAGACGUGAUACCGAUGAUGUGAUCGUUGACACUGAUGAAGACUCAAUGUUAUCUUCAGAAGUGCCAGGCAAGCAAAACCCCCUUGUUCAUUCCGAUACAAUCCUACUCUCUCGCUAAUGCAUUAGGACAACAACGAUUCAACUGUUACUUGAUGCGGUAGCUGAACCCCUUUAUCCUUUGCAUGACCUGUCAUUGCCACAGUAAAUAGAUGAAACCCACUAGCAUGAGUAGGAGUUGUUUGAGCCCUGUUGUGCCUACUCAUUCAUGUUUGUUUGUCAUGCCUGCUACUGCUUAGAGUUGAGUCAGGUCCGAUUCAUCGGGGAUGAAUCAGAGGUGUGUGAACAUGUCCUACUGUGUGUGAGCUAAGUGUGUGAACACGAUUUGGUAAAAGGUAUCGGUGAGAGGCCAUGUAGGAGUACAUGGUGGGUUGUCUCAUUGAAGCCGUCCUCAGGAACUGAGUUCUGUGUUUGUGAUCCAUGAUUCAGCUACUACCAUACAUUGGGCCCUGAAAUAUGACCCCGCUCGACUUCUUAUCCACCCUUGUCCUCUGUCCAGGAGUUGCAAGUAGUUUCUGGUGUUUGUAGUAUGCUGGAGGCCGUGGGCAGCGCUGACCGGAGGGGUGGGCUGUGAUGCGGUAGGCACGUGGCACGGUGUACCGGGCGCCCGUUUGGUGUCUCGGGAACCCUGUUCACAUCGUUUGGGGCUGUGAGCGAAACUCCGGCCGGAUCUCCUCAUGGAUGGAACCCGAAUAGGCGAUAAACCUGGACUAGAGACUUGAGUGUUUAGGUAGGUCGUGGUCUACACCCACGUCGGCUUUUGCUUGAAGUCUGCCGAGCACAUGUCGUGUGCAGACGCUAUGUGGUGGAAACAUGUAUGAAGAAGUACACCGCUGCAGGGUUAAUAUCAUCUAUUCGAAUAGCCGUGUCCGCGGUAAAGGACUUCUGGGUUGCUUAUAUCAGUUCAUAGACAAGUGAAAGUGGAUACUCUAAAAUACGCAAGAUAAGCGUGAGUGCUAUGGAUGGCGUUCUCGUAGGGAGACGGGAGCGGAUCCAUAGUGGUGUAUUGAUAUGGUGAAUAUGUGGACUCGUGUGCGCCACCUCAAAAGAGUUGCUUGCAGUCGUAGUUUAGGAUAGCCACCGAGUCAAAGCUGGCUUGCUGCAGUUAAACCCCACCAUCCCCUUGUUGAUAAUGAUGCAUAUGUAGUUAGUUCUGAUGUAAGUCUUGCUGGGUACAUUUGUACUCACGUUUGCCUAUUUUAUGUUUUUGCAGAGAGACUUCGGUCUCACUAGUAGUUCCACGUGGACUUCGAUGUUUAGCUUGUUACCUCAGCUACGGUCUUGUGCCUCGGCAGGAUUUGGUAGAUAGUCAGGCUUCUCAGCCUUUUUCAUUUAUAGAUGUCUGUACUCAGACAUGAUAGCUUCCGCUUGUGCUUUGAUAUGUAUGCUCUGAAUGUUGGGUCAUGAGACCCCUGUUUGUAAUAUCUCGCUCCUCGGAGCCUAUUGAUUAAAUACUUGAGUUAUAGAGUCAUGUUGUGAUGCCAUGUUGUAUUUGCACAUAUCGAGCAUAUUGUGUGUAUGUUAUUGAAAUGCUUGGUAUGUGUGGGAUCUGACUAUCUAGUUGUUUAUUCUUAGUAGCCUCUCUUACCGGGAAAUGUCUCCUAGUGUUUCCACUGAGCCAUGGUAGCUUGCUACUGCUCCGGAACACUUAGGCUGGCCGGCAUGUGUCCUUCUUUGUUCCUGUGUCUGUCCCUUCGGGGAAAUGUCACGCGAUGAAUACCAGAGUCCUGUUAGCCCGCUACAGCCCGGUUCACCGGAGUCCUGCUAGCCCAGUGCUACAGCCUGGAUUCACUCGCUGAUGACCGACACGUUCGAUGCUGGGUCAUGGAUGCCUUUCCCUGUAAGUUUGUGCCACUUUGGGUUUACGACUAGCCAUGUCAGCCCGGGCUCCUUAUCAUAUGGAUGCUAGCGACACUAUCAUAUACGUGUGCCAAAAGGCGCAAACGGUCCCGGGCAAAGGUAAGGCGACACCCGUGGGAAUACCGUGCGUGAGGCCGCAAAGUGAUAUGAGGUGUUACAUGCUAGAUCGAUGUGGCAUUGAGUCAGGGUCCCGACAGCGUUGGUAUCAGAGCUUGAUUGCCUGUAGGAUUACCAAGCCAAACUGGUCGAAGUUGAGUCUAGAAAUUCUUUAGUUAUAUAAGGAAAUUGAUUGUGGGAUGGAACGUAAGGCUCUUUUUACUCCUUAUACCUCAUGCCCUUCUGAUCUGAGUCAUCUUAUCUUUCCUACGGGGAUUAAGAGCUAGGCUAUCUCUUCUUUCUAUCAGGAUCAUGCGUUACUAAUCCGUAGACUUAUAAGAUGGUUGGAUUUAAGCUUGAGUUCAGUUUCUACUACUUCCGUAUGUUAAUUGUUGAUCUCGAAACCUUGAUAUUGUGCUUCCGAGUGGUUAUGCCACCAUUUUUGUGAAUGUCUCAAAUCUUUUCUGAGCAUUUACAGCCGUUAUGCUGUCCGAGUCAUCCCAGGGUUCUAAAUAGUCUGAUGCAUUUGCAAAAUCCUUUCCCUCUGGUUUCAAUGUUCCUUUAUGCUAGCUCAAUCACACUAAUUGUUGAGUUGAGGUAUUCUAUUGCCUUGACAAUUAUGUUGGAGUUAUUAUUAUGACCCUAGGUGUCUCAGGGGAUCAUCUAGUGGUCUAGCCAUGAUUUGUGUUCUAGUGUGAUGAUUCUGGCCUUUAUUCCCGAAAGCAUCCCGUGAUGCUACUUAGUAGUAGGUAUUCUAUUCCUGGGUUCUUGAACCCGAGAUUCACUCUACUUACUUCAUGUUGAUAGUAAUUGCUAGCUCCCUUAGGUUAUUAGUAACCUUUGCGUUAGUCCUCGAGGUCCGUGGUAUAUCGUUCUUCCAAAUACCAUGAACCAUUAUGGCAGAAGUUUGUUGGAUUAAAAGAUCACAACAGGCCCUCUAUGAGUUCUCCAUUCUAUAUUGCGACUCUGCCAGCUCAACCUUUCUGCAUGGGUUAUCCGGAAGAAUUAUGUUGAACUUAGUUCGACAUACUAAUCUAUGCAUCCACAAGUCAGAAAGUUAUAUGUUCCUUUGAAUUGUCCCUCUUUAGUUGCCUACUGACCUUCGUCUAUCAAUUGAUAGUCAAGAAUAUGCAUGCAUUCGUUUAUCGAUGCCUAUUACUCUUGUGGUCCGUCAAGCCAUUCUAUCAUAGAAUGAUAGGAGAAACAAACUCCAGUACCUCUUCCAUAUCUAGGAUUGGGUCAAAGCAAUUGUGCUCCGCAGAUCAAAAUGCCAGCCCAGCUUUUGAUUCUGAUCUACCUUGGAGUAUUACCAUCUUUAUAUCGGGAUUGUUAUAGGAAUUGCACACCAUCCUAUGAACUCUUGGUACAGUGAUACUUCUUGCCAUCAUUGUUCAUUCCUCGGUUCCUGUGUUAUUGUAACCGGAAUGCCGACAAGUGAAUCGUGGUGUGUGAAAUCAAUACUGCUAGCAACUCCAUUGCUUGGUAGUUAAAUGGACGAUAACCUCAUUCUUAGCGUGUUGAUUUUUGAAUCAUCCUUCUAAGACUGAUCGUGCUACCUUGUUCAUCUUCCUGGUGCACAUUUCGAUUGAUGAGUUAGGAUUCUGUCAAGUCCUCGCUCAUUUAAUUAUAUCGUCUUGCCCUGAAAAGCAAGAUUGUUCUCGAGCUUAGUAACAUACCGGUGGUUCGUGAUUUUCCGAAGAUCUUCUCGGAAGUAUUACCAGGUUGUCACCUGACCGCUGUGUUGAGCUCGUGAUCAAGUUGGUUUCUUGUGAACCACCCUUCUCCAAGAAUCUGUGUUGGAUAUCCCUGAGCUAGUUGGUUAAGCUAGACAACAACUUGGAGAGUUGGAAGAUAAAAGCUUGCCUGACUUAGUUCGUUCCAAAGGGAUAUUCUUGUGUAGUAUGUGUGUACGAAAGAUGAUAUCUUCAUCGAUUCGUCCCUGUGAUCAGUUGCUGGACCUAUCAUUUUUAUCUAACCUUUGAUUGGAGUAUGGGCUAUCAUCCAAUCAGACCAGAACCAACGAUAUUCGUAAUGUUGUCUUACUCGUGGUUGAUCCCUCGAGCAUACACCAUUAUAUCUUUCGGGUCUGACCAAUGCUAUCACUUGUUCACUUAACUAUGGAAUUCCUUUUAAAGCGAAACCCGGAAGAAUUAUUGUUGAGCCCAUUGGCAACAUCCUUAUCUCCUCCAUGAUGUUGUUGAACAUUAAGCUAGUGUUGGAAACUUUUGAAAGCAUUUUCUUCAUGCUAGCUCAUGAAGUAUUUGUUUGAUGAAAGGAGUGACUUCCUCUUAUACACGUGCAUUUGGUGAAAGUUGCCGCCGUGAAUUUGAGAAAGACUGUUUUGUUUCCUUUGGAAUCAUCCCAAAUCAGUCAUGCACACGUGCGAAGUAUUCUGUAGUCUGGAGACUUGCAACCUUCAUUCUAUAUGUGUCCCUAGCACACUAAGCCACUGAUUAACUUGUUCAAGGAAAAGAAGUCUAUGCUUGGGAUCUAAUACAUGGACUUGCGUAAAGACUUCUAUAUCCUCGAUUAUGGUUCCCCACCCGAACUCGGUAGUGUUUGAUUAUAAGACUACUACGUGGCCAUGCUUGUCUGGGACAACGUGUUCACAUGUUAGUAGCAGAACCAGCUCAUGUUUGGAGCUUGCUAUCGUAGUUCAUUCCCGAGAAUCUCGCAACGUCAUCUCAUCGAUUUGUGUUGUAAACUUUCGUUUUUCUUCCUAGACUCGAUGAGUCUGGAAUAUCCUGACACCAACCAGAUCUGAAUCUCAGGCAGAUAUGAUGGUUUGGAACAUUUCCCAAGAACUAUAAUAUCGAUCCCUCGAAAACCGGUAAAGUGGAUGUCGUGGCCAACACACCUAGCCGGAAGACCUGUUAUUAUAAUAUCUUGAUUGAGGAAGUUGGCCACCUCCCCAUAGGGAUUUCGUAGGAUUUACUCCCUAGUUGCCCCUAUGGAUUUUGUGUUCCCGAAGUCCGACCUUUUACUUGAUGUUCUAGAUACCAAACCAUUUCAAUGAAUGGGAUACGCUAGCACAUCAAGGAGAACAUUAGGAGCGGAGUGCUAAAUGUCUCUCGGUCGAUCAUCCAGAUUUUAUUUCCUUGGCCCCGCCAAGGGUGAAAUCUAAGAAAGUGUUAUCUUCCUUUGCAUCUGCAUCAUCCAUCAUCAUUCAUCAUGGUAGCAAGUUGUGUUGCCAGGAUCCUUGACACGGAUAUUGGUAAAACCUUGAUGAUUGUGGAAAUGCUCAAGUUCUUGAGAGCACGCACAAGCGCUACGUGAUAUCAUCGGCACUAACUGGGAUUCCUCUCAGUUUCCUCGGCAAUGCUAUGACCUUUUCAAACAGUGAAUUCACUCUCUAUUGUUGGGUUCUUCCCCCAGUUACCAGAAUCGUUCCUAGCAUUUGCAUUUUGUUCCCAGCUUGCACCGCCAAUGUGCCAUUCUACCAUGGGUCUCUUCCAUUUCUGGUGAUAAGCAAACUCAUCCAUUACGUUGUCUUCAACAAGGUAAUCCACAUCAUCCAAGUCCGAGUAUGCCAUUCUACCGACCCCCGCCAAUCGAUUGCUGUGAUUUGCCUUAGGCUGAUAUAGAGAGUCUCAAUGAUCUCUAUAUCAAAGGUAAUUCAUUUUGCCACUUAAGGUAAUAAUCUACGAAUCACCCUCCUCUAGGAUGUUUCGUCGUGGUAUCAUGGCAAUUCAACUCCUUGCUACGUUGACAAUCGUUUACCACCUUCUAAGGUGUGGAAUUGUUGCCUACCUAGUGAACCUCCGUCAUCUGCUUCACUCCAUUCCUAUGGAUGUGUGCUUCGUGUCUCAGCUCAAGAGAUGUUGCUAUGCCUCAUUCCGGGAGUUAAUCCUGAGUUGUUCGAUCUUCGAGAAGAACGAUUCUUUUAGGGUCUUUCCUUUCCUCUCGUUGUCAUGUUAGUUGGAGUUCUCAGAGGAAGACGUCGAGACAAGGAUGGUGAACAAAUCAACGUUCAAUUGAAGUACAACUUGGAUCGUGAAGAUUGUGCUAGUUUGCGUUUCCCCAUCACCUUACCCUACGCUUGAAUCUCGGGACGAGAUUUUUGUUUAGUGGGGGUGAGUUGUCACAUCCCUAACUUCUGGUUUGCUCUGAGCUAGCUAGUCAUGUGUUGCAUCAUGUUUAAAUUUUGCCUAAAAUUGGAAUGGGGAUGUUCAAACCGUAGCAUUAAAUCAACUCAACUAGGGUGAAUUAUAGUCUUUUCAAUAAACCCAAAAAGUUCCUAAGAAAAGUUCAUGAUUUCUGGUUAAGGUGGAAACCUCUGCCAAAAAUGAUGAAUAUAUUCUUAGGUCAUUUUUGGAUUUUUGAAUUCAAUCAUAUUGUAUUUGACUUUGGGCAUUUAAACACUAUAAAUAAUUUAAAUGUUCAAAUAAAUGUUGGAAAUUGUUAAGGGUCACUGAAAUAAUUCAGAAAGCACCCAUAAUUGUUUCCAGGAUUUUAUUAAAUGAUUUGGUAUUUUAAAUCAAAUCAAAAACAAAAUAACAGAAAUAGAAAAGAAAUAAAAGAGAGAGAGAGAAGGAAGUUACCUGGCGCCCACUCACCUGGUAGCCAGCCGGCCCAGCUCCUGUGCGGCCCAGCCCAGCGCCUCCCCCUGUCGUCUUCCUCCUCGCCAGAAGGACCGAGGCGUGGCGCGCGCCCGAGAGGCCUCGGCCACCUCCUGCUUCCCCUGGCCACCUCCUGCUUCCUCCUCGACGCCCCGGUGACGCCACGCAACUCCCUCGACCCUCUCUCACUCUCCCGUGUCUCUCCCUCCGUCCCUAUCCUCCUCUGCUCCCUCUCUCUCGCCUGGACCGAACGGAGCCGCCGCCACCGACGAGCUCCCUCGCGGCCACCGCCACCCCCUCUCCUCUCCGACGCGCUCCCGAGCUCCGCCGGUCCUCCCUCGUCCUCCUCGUCGUCUCGCGCGACCAGAAGAGCCCCUGGAUGCCGCUAGCCUCGCCGUUCCCUCCUCGGCCACCGAGGAUCGCCGUCGUCAAAUUCGUCGCCGUUCGGCCUUCCCCGAGCCCACCGAGCUGCUCGUCGACCUCGCCGUGAGCUCCUCUGCUGAACCCCUCUCUCCCCGUGCUCUAUUUCCCUCCGUAGCCGCCGUUACCACCGCGACCGAGAGCUUCUCACCGCCGGCCAUGGCGUGGCCGUGGCCACAGCCACCGCAGCUCGCUCCCGAGCCCACCGUCGUGCUCAGCGUAGCACCAGGAGCUCGUAGCCACCACCUGCUCCUCCUCUAGUGCACCGUAGCCCUUCUCCCCUCCCCGCCGAACUCCGGCCGCCGCAAAAGCUGCCGCCGUCGUUGAUUUAGCCCACUCCGUCGCGAGUUGUUGCCUCCGUUGGAUGCGCAAGACUCCUAGCUUUCUGUAGCCGCAAACCGCAUCCAAAACCACCGCCUGAAGCUCAAAUCCGAGCCGCGCCACCGUCUCGGGCCUCGCCGGCGUCGAGUCGCCGGUGGGGUUGACCCACUUGACCACGGCGGAACCCCCCCUGGGUCGAUGACAGGUGGGGCCAGCCCCUGUUAAUUAGUUUAGGUGUUAGAUUAGUUAACACUAAUUAAGUUAGUUAAUUAUUUAAGCGACUGACAUGUGGGCCCAACCCUGCUGACAUUUUCGUUAGUAUUAGUUUAACCCUAAUCAACCCAGUUAACCAACUGUGUCACUGACGUGUGGCCCCCACACGUCAGGUUUGACCUGGGGCGCCCAGUUGACCCUGCUGACGUCACCGUGACGUGGUGCUGACGCCAUAAAUCAUUUCUGGAUUUAUUAUUAUUUCAGGAAUUUCAGAAAAUAGCUAAAACUUCAAUAAAUCAUAGAAAAUUAACCGUAACUCCAAAUUAAAUAAAUUAUAUAUGAAAAAUUAUCAGAAAAAUUCAAGGAAUCCAUCUGUACCAUUUUCAUGCAUGUUAGAGCAACUUAUAGAUGCUGUUUAGCACAAAUCAUAUAAAGGGCAUUUAAAUAAUCACAUAUGAAGUUUGAAUUUGAAUCUUGUAUUCAAACCAACUUCAUUUAAUCUGUUGCUAGUUGCAUUAGCUCAAAACACAUUCAUUUUGCCAUGUCAUGAUCAUGCAUCAUAUUGUGCAUUACAUUGAUUGUGUUCCCUUCUAUGUUGUCGGUAUUUAUCCCCUCUCGAUAGACGUGAUACCGAUGAUGUGAUCGUUGACACUGAUGAAGACUCAAUGUUAUCUUCAGAAGUGCCAGGCAAGCAAAACCCCCUUGUUCAUUCCGAUACAAUCCUACUCUCUCGCUCCUGCUCUCUUUUAAUGCAUUAGGACAACUACGAUUCAACUGUUACUUGCUGCGGUAGCUGAACCCCUUUAUCCUUUGCAUGACCUGUCAUUGCCACAGUAAAUAGAUGAAACCCACUAGCAUGAGUAGGAGUUGUUUGAGCCCUGUUGUGCCUACUCAUUCAUGUUUGUUUGUCAUGCCUGCUACUGCUUAGAGUUGAGUCAGGUCUGAUUCAUCGGGGAUGAAUCAGAGGUGUAUGAACAUGUCCUACUGUGUGUGAGCUAAGUGUGUGAACACGAUUUGGUAAAAGGUAUCGGUGAGAGGCCAUGUAGGAGUACAUGGUGGGUUGUCUCAUUGAAGCCGUCCUCAAGAACUGAGUUCUGUGUUUGUGAUCCAUGAUUCAGCUACUACCAUACAUUGGGCCCUGAAAUAUGACCCCGCUCGACUUUUCUUAUCCACCCUUGUCCUCUGUCUAGGAGUUGCAAGUAGUUUCUGGUGUUUGUAGUAUGCUGUAGGCCGUGGGCAGCGCUGGCCGGAGGGGUGGGCUGUGAUGCGGUAGGCACAUGGCACGGUGUACCGGGCGCCCGUUUGGUGUCUCGGGAACCCUGUUCACAUCGUUUGGGGCUGUGAGCGAAACUCCGGCCGGAUCUCCUCAUGGAUGGAACCCGAAUAGGCGAUAAACCUGGACUAGAGACUUGAGUGUUUAGGUAGGUCGUGGUCUACACCCACGUCGGCUUUCGCUUGAAGUCUGCCGAGCACAUGUCGUGUGCAGACGCUAAGUGGUGGAAACAUGUAUGAAGAAGUACACCCCUGCAGGGUUAAUAUCAUCUAUUCGAAUAGCCGUGUCCGCGGUAAAGGACUUCUGGGUUGCUUAUAUCAGUUCAUAGACAAGUGAAAGUGGAUACUCUAAAAUAUGCAAGAUAAGCGUGAGUGUUAUGGAUGGCGUUCUCGUAGGGAGACGGGAGCGGAUCCAUAGUGGUGUAUUGAUAUGGUGAAUAUGUGGACUCGUGUGCGCCACCUAAAAAGAGUUGCUUGCAGUCGUAGUUUAGGAUAGCCACCGAGUCAAAGCUGGCUUGCUGCAGUUAAACCCCACCAUCCCCUUGUUGAUAAUGAUGCAUAUGUAGUUAGUUCUGAUGUAAGUCUUGCUGGGUACAUUUGUACUCACGUUUGCCUAUUUUAUGUUUUUGCAGAGAGACUUCGGUCUCACUAGUAGUUCCACGUGGACUUCGACGUUUAGCUUGUUACCUCAGCUACGGUCUUGUGCCUCGGCAGGAUUUGGUAGAUAGUCAGGCUUCUCAGCCUUUUUCAUUUAUAGAUGUCUGUACUCAGACAUGAUAACUUCCGCUUGUGCUUUGAUAUGUAUGCUCUGAAUGUUGGGUCAUGAGACCCCUGUUUGUAAUAUCUCGCUCCUCGGAGCCUAUUGAUUAAAUACUUGAGUUAUAGAGUCAUGUUGUGAUGCCAUGUUGUAUUUGCACAUAUCGAGCAUAUUGUGUGUAUGUUAUUGAAAUGCUUGGUAUGUGUGGGAUCUGACUAUCUAGUUGUUUAUUCUUAGUAGCCUCUCUUACCGGGAAAUGUCUCCUAGUGUUUCCACUGAGCCAUGGUAGCUUGCUACUGCUCCGGAACACUUAGGCUGGCCGGCAUGUGUCCUUCUUCGUUCCUGUAUCUGUCCCUUCGGGGAAAUGUCACGCGAUGAAUACCAGAGUCCUGUUAGCCCGCUACAGCCCGGUUCACCGGAGUCCUGCUAGCCCAGUGCUACAGCCUGGAUUCACUCGCUGAUGACCGACACGUUCGAUGCUGGGUCAUGGAUGCCUGUCCCUGUAAGUUUGUGCCACUUUGGGUUUACGACUAGCCAUGUCAGCCCGGGCUCCUUAUCAUAUGGAUGCUAGCGACACUAUCAUAUACGUGUGCCAAAAGGCGCAAACGAUCCCGAGCAAAGGGAAGGCGACACUCGUGGGAAUACCGUGCGUGAGGCCGCAAAGUGAUAUGAGGUGUUACAUGCUAGAUCGAUGUGGCAUUGAGUCAGGGUCCUGACAAUGUACUUGGAGCAAAAUGUCAGGCAUUCAUCUGCAAUAUAUGCCUUAGCAAUCGAACCUUCUGGUUGCGCCCUAUUCCUCACAUAGCGCUUUAAAGUAUAUAGCCUUCUUUCAACUGGGUACAUCCACCCAUAUUGCACGGGACCUCGAAGCAAUGCCUCUUCAGGUAAGUGUACGGCAAGGUGCACCAUCACAUCAAAGAAUGCAGGCGGGAAAAUUUUCUCAAGCUUGCACAAAAUUACAGGGAUUUCCUUCUUCAUUUCAGCCAAGACAUCCCUAUUAAGAGUUUUGCUGCACAGUUCUCUGAAAAACUUGCCUAACUCAGCUAUUGCUUCAUAUAUAUCACUGUCCAAAAAUCCUCUCAUGCCGGCGGGUAAGAUUCUCUGCAAAAGAAUGUGACAAUCAUGUGUUUUCAAGCCUUGUACCUUCGUUCCAUCAGCACUUGUGCAUCUUGAGAGGUUGGAAGCAAACCCAUCUGGAAACUUUAACUCUCGUAAAAAUUGACAAAAUGCAACCACUUGUUCUUUGGACAAGGUAUAUCGGGCCCGAGGCAUCACAUAUGAGUCUCCCUCCUUCCUCAAUUGCAACUCUUCUUUAAUAUUCAAAUCUUUCAGAUCAAUCCUAGCAUUAAGUGUGUCCUUUGUCUUACCCUCCAGAUUCAGAAUUCUCCCAAUGAGGUUUUCACAAAUGUUUUUCUCAAUGUGCAUGACAUCAAGAUUGUGUCCCAGCUUCAACUUUGCCCAAUACUUCAAAUCCCACAAACAAACCCUCCAGCCCCAAAUUGGCACAUGAUCCUUCUUGUUGCCCAGGUCAGAACGCUUCCUUUUCCUACUUUCUUGGUGUCUCCCAGGUCUAACCUUCUCCAAUUCUGCUUGCAACUCUUUCUCAGAGAAUUUACCUGGCUCAUCAUUGCUUUCAUGAAGACCAACAAAUUCAUUGUUUCUCCGUAAACGACGACCCCUUGGAAGGAAAUGGUAGUGACCAAUAUACCCAAUUUUACUCCUUAGGCUGUAAGAAAGAGGGUGUUUGUCACAAUGAAUACAUGCAAAAUAGCCUCUUGUGGUACGCCUUGAAAGAGUGCUCAGAGCUGGGUAAUCGUGAAUGCACCAUAGAACCGCAGCAUGAAGAUCAAACAUUUUUCCACUAAGAGCAUCAUAUGUACGCACACCCUCCCAGAGCUCAAGUAAUUCUUCUACAAGUGGUUGGAGAAAGACAUCGAAGUGCUUGCCAGGUGAUUUGGGACCAGAAAUCAGCAAAGCCAUCAUAAAAUUUGACUGAUCCAUGCAUGCCCAAGGUGGAAGGUUGUAUGGUAUAACAAAUACAGGCCACAUACAAUAGGUUGUGUUAAAAUUUCCAAAAGGAUUGAACCCAUCAGUGGCAAUGCCAAGCCUAAAGUUUCUGGCAUCUUUUGCAAAUUCUGGAAAUUUUUCAUCAAAAUCUUUCCAUGCAUCACCGUCUUUUGGAUGACUCAGUUCCUUCUCAUUGGGUUGCCUCUUUAGCUCAUGCCAUUGUGCUUCUUCUGCACCUUUUUUGGAAAGAAACAUCCUCUUUAGCCUAGGCACCAACGGAAAAUGCCUCAACACUUUCUGUGGAAUCUUCUUUCUAGCAGAGUCUUUCCACCUUGAUAGUCCACAAACUGGGCAGUUGUCAUGAUUGGCAUAUUGCUUUCUGAACAGAAUGCAAUUAUUCAAGCACACAUGUAUAGACUCAUACCCAAGGCCUAAUUCCUUUAGAAGAUUCUUUGCUUCCUUAUACGAUUUUGGGAGUGUAUUGGGUUCAGGGAAUGCUUCGGCUAAUAGCUUUAAAAUUUCAGUAAAUGCACUAUUCGGGAUCCUAUGGUAUGACUUCAAGUGAAGAAGCUUUACCACAAAGGAGAACCUUGAAAACUUGGUACAACCAUGAUAAAGUUGUCGUUUUGCCUCCUUCAUCACAUUCUUCAAAAAAGACUCAUUCUCAGAAGGGUUUCCACCAUUGUUAGCAUCUUGAUUUUCAGUUUCACUCUGAGCUUGUUCUACUGUUGUGCGUAGGUCUUCAAACAUCUCUUCAAACCGGUCAGCGCCAUUGUCACCAUCCUCAGUGUCAUGCACAUCAACAGGAUGUUCAAUAACAUCUACAUCAAAGUCUUCUCCAUGAUAUAUCCAGCGAGUAUACAUACUUUCCAUGCCAUACAUCAGUAUGUGCGUGUUCGCAACGGUCUGAUGCUGGUAGUUAUGAUUAAGGCAUUUUCUACAUGGGCAGAGUAUUUUAUCAUUCUCACUGAAUUUCUCUUGAAUGAAUUUCAUAAAUUCUUUGACACCUUGGAUGUACUCACGGGAAAACAAUGUACCAUGAAUCCAACGUCUAUCCAUCUGCACUGCAGAAAAAGAACCAACUCAAUCAAAGGUUUACCCCGGCCAUCAAAUUAAAAUGUACAGUAUAUAGCAAACUAAAAUAUGUUCAGAAUUAUAAUUAUAUUGCUUCACACUAUAGUGAACACAGUUCAUCAAAAGAUUUUUCUUUUGCUCUAACAAAGGAACAUUCACCAUUUGACAAUAUUUCACUGAUUAUUCCACAUUAAAGAGGUCUACAAAUCCGUAGUACACAUUUUUACACACAUGUUUGCACAAAAUGUUUGUACAAGGGUAAUGAUCUUCGGUAGUUGGAUGCAAGGAAAUUUAUAGGCAUGAUCCUGUCAUAAUUUACUUACUACAAGCUCAUCUUGUCUCUUGGUGUAGGGUUGAUUUAGUUAUAAAAUUUUAAAACAGAGGAAUACAUGUCCUUUGGACCACCCCAAAACAGAGGAGUACAUGUCCUAGAGCUUGAGCUGUUAAUUCAUCAGCUUUGCUGGAUGAAGGCUGAAACUGUAGUAGGAAUCACAGCUCAUGUAAAAAAUGCUGCUGAUAUAAAGUGCACAAAGUUAUUUACAGAUUGUGUAACUUCAUUGCCGUGGCAAAGAAUUCAAUGGGCCACCGUGCUGAUUUUCGGCCGUGGCAGAUUAUGAAAUCCAAAUUAUCUACUCAAGCUGCAGUGGAUUUAUCAGUUUAUAUCUUUCUGAAAAGCUGAAGCUAGCAGGACCAACAGCUCAUGUAUCAUAACUCUAGAUCUAGAUAGACUGAAACCUAAAGGGAAAAAGUUCACCCAGCAGGGAGAUGAAUCCCAGAAGCAUUUGCUCUGCGUCAUACCUCUAGAUCUAAAUAGGGUGAAACCUAAAGGGAAAAAGUUCACCCCAAAUUCUGAAGGGGAAAAUUGCAAAUCAGAAUAUUUAGUCAACAAAUUCUGAAGGAGAGAGACAUGAUUUCUGCCGGGGACAUACCGCUCGCUCCUGGCUGACGUUGAUGUAGGGAAAGAACGGGG
This 17449-nucleotide long non-coding RNA is filed under the name Triticum aestivum (bread wheat). RNAcentral describes it as "long non-coding RNA (TAES_LNC003771)". Lineage: Eukaryota; Viridiplantae; Streptophyta; Magnoliopsida; Poales; Poaceae. The record is from RNAcentral.